CAAGCGUUGUCCGGAUUUAUUGGGCGUAAAGAGCUCGUAGGCGGUUCGGUAAGUCGGGUGUGAAAACUUUGGGCUUAACCCAAAGCGUGCAUCCGAUACUGCUGUGACUUGAGUUCGGUAGGGGAGUGGGGAAUUCCUAGUGUAGCGGUGAAAUGCGCAGAUAUUAGGAGGAACACCGGUGGCGAAGGCGCCACUCUGGGCCGAAACUGACGCUGAGGAGCGAAAGCAUGGGUAGCAAACAGG
This 243-nucleotide ribosomal RNA is filed under the name uncultured bacterium. Its description in RNAcentral is "partial 16S ribosomal RNA". It matches the Rfam family "Bacterial small subunit ribosomal RNA", at positions 535 to 776 of the family's 1533-position model. The record is from RNAcentral.